CCCGGGAGACACAAAGAGCGGCUCCGCGACGCCGGCCCUGUAGCCCGCGGGCGGGAGGCCACCCACACCCGCCCCGGCCGAGCCCCCUCCACGGCGCUGCCAGGCCCCGGCCGAGGACGCGGGGCCCCCGCUCGCUGCCUUCCUUCCGCGGGGAGCCGGGCGCUGCCUGCGCUCAUGCCCGCGCUGAAACUGAACACCCGCGGCGCGGGGCCGCCAGGGAGGCGGAGG
RNAcentral lists this long non-coding RNA (228 nucleotides) under Homo sapiens (human). Its description in RNAcentral is "HSALNT0196086". Lineage: Eukaryota; Metazoa; Chordata; Mammalia; Primates; Hominidae. The record is from RNAcentral.